UCAAACUCAAUUUACAGCACUCUAGGGGUGCUUCUCCAGCUAGCAUCUCUAAACAUUUCUACAGGCUUCUGAAACACAUUGUCAGCUUACUACAGAGGCUGGCGCAAGUCUGUUUUGGAAGGCUGAAAGUACUAUGAGUCUGAGAAGUCUGAGUGGGAGGCCUGAAGACAGGUGUCCAAAGGCAACGGUGAAGACUGGCGCUCCUCUGAAAAAGUAUGAUAACGGCACCUUUUCCUGAUUUCUAUCUUCAAAGGACAGUACAAUGUGCGCAGACAUCAAGAAUGAACUUCGGUGCAGUAAUGAAGAAUGGUAUCAUGAAAAGUACUGGUGAUUAGCUGGUUAAAAGCACUAUCAAUAGUGAUGACACGAGAGCUCCUUUAACCUUUCAGGUUAAAGACAUUGUAACACCUCAUUCUGGAACCGCAUCAAGUUCCCUGGUAUUAGCACUGAAAUUAUAUAUGCAAUUUUGAUCAUAACAAACACAACCUGCACAUUUUAGAAAUAAUUUACAACUGGAGAUAAAUGCAGUAUACUGCCAGUACUAUAAAUAACCUUUAAGAUUUCAUUAUUCAAUCGGGUGUCAAAGCAAACAGCCACAGACGCUUGCUUAACGAAGGGAACGUUUUUCAGGAUUAUCCUCAUGGUUAUGUCUUCAAUUGUGCAGACUGGAAGGAUUUGCGAGAGAAACUGAAUAAUCUUGCAUUAUAUGAAUAAUUUAUAAUCACAGCAGAGUCAGUGAUUCCCUGGCUUAUCGCACAUUUGCAUGUUAUAAUCAAUAAAGUCCACACACACCCAACUAUACCAUGGAACUUUGUUUAAAAUAAAACUUCUCCAACA
Chinchilla lanigera (long-tailed chinchilla) is the source of this 837-nucleotide long non-coding RNA. RefSeq lists it as uncharacterized. The record is from RefSeq and is a predicted model, not a curated record. NCBI's taxonomy places the organism in Eukaryota, Metazoa, Chordata, Mammalia, Rodentia, Chinchillidae. The transcript is spliced from 3 exons.